Molecule: ribosomal RNA, 253 nt
Filed under: uncultured bacterium
Lineage: Bacteria
Description: partial 16S ribosomal RNA
Rfam family: Bacterial small subunit ribosomal RNA
Source: RNAcentral
CACGUAGGGCGCGAGCGUUGUCCGGAAUUAUUGGGCGUAAAGAGCUCGUAGGCGGCCUGUUGCGUCCGCUGUGAAAGCCCGGGCUUAACCCCGGGUCCUGCAGUGGAUACGGGCAGGCUAGAGGUAGGUAGGGGAGAAUGGAAUUCCCGGUGUAGCGGUGAAAUGCGCAGAUAUCGGGAGGAACACCGGUGGCGAAGGCGGUUCUCUGGGCCUUACCUGACGCUGAGGAGCGAAAGCGUGGGGAGCGAACAGG